GGGGGCGUUCUUGGAUUCGACGGGGAUUGCAAGGCUCUAGGUGCAUGUCGAGGAUGAAAGAACCUCGUAAAACCCUUUCAACACAAUAGUUGCAAACGACGACAACUACGCUUUAGCGGCUUAAUCCCCGCUAACGUUCAGCCGAAAAAGUCUGCGUUUUUGACCUGAACGACAUCUCAGCAGAAUCGCUCUUAUGUGCGUCCGCCGCAUAAGGGUUAAACUUAGCGGAAUCGCCGGAAAGAUGCCUGACCAUUGGCUGCUUGAAGGCUAAAUUUUAAUUAAUGGCUCUAAGCAUGUAGUACCGAAAGUUGAGGAUUCGCGGACGGGGGUUCAAAUCCCCCCGCCUCCACCA
RNAcentral lists this transfer-messenger RNA (352 nucleotides) under Suttonella indologenes. RNAcentral describes it as "Standard tmRNA". It matches the Rfam family "transfer-messenger RNA". From Rfam's summary of the family: Bacterial tmRNA, also known as 10Sa RNA or SsrA, is named for its dual tRNA and mRNA-like properties. Its role is to liberate the mRNA from a stalled ribosome. The record is from Rfam by way of RNAcentral. Lineage: Bacteria; Pseudomonadati; Pseudomonadota; Gammaproteobacteria; Cardiobacteriales; Cardiobacteriaceae.